Molecule: ribosomal RNA, 450 nt
Filed under: uncultured bacterium
Lineage: Bacteria
Description: partial 16S ribosomal RNA
Rfam family: Bacterial small subunit ribosomal RNA
Source: RNAcentral
CCAGACUCCUACGGGAGGCAGCAGUGGGGAAUAUUGGACAAUGGGGGGAACCCUGAUCCAGCGACGCCGCGUGAGUGAAGAAGUAUUUCGGUAUGUAAAGCUCUAUCAGCAGGGAAGAAAGAAAUGACGGUACCUGAAGAAGAAGCCCCGGCUAACUACGUGCCAGCAGCCGCGGUAAUACGUAGGGGGCAAGCGUUAUCCGGAUUUACUGGGUGUAAAGGGAGCGUAGACGGCGAUGCAAGCCAGAUGUGAAAGCCCGGGGCUCAACCCCGGGACUGCAUUUGGAACUGUGUGGCUGGAGUGUCGGAGAGGCAGGCGGAAUUCCUAGUGUAGCGGUGAAAUGCGUAGAUAUUAGGAGGAACACCAGUGGCGAAGGCGGCCUGCUGGACGAUGACUGACGUUGAGGCUCGAAAGCGUGGGGAGCAAACAGGAUUAGAUACCCCAGUAUUG